RNAcentral lists this long non-coding RNA (589 nucleotides) under Phoenix dactylifera (date palm). RNAcentral's name for it is "long non-coding RNA (PDAC_LNC020021)". Lineage: Eukaryota; Viridiplantae; Streptophyta; Magnoliopsida; Arecales; Arecaceae. The record is from RNAcentral.
GUGACUUCAAAAGAUGGUGUUCCAUUGAAUGAGUUAGUUUCCUAUUUAUUUGAUCAGGAAAGAAGCCGUGAGGACCUCGCAAGGAUGGUAAAUCUACAAGAGAUGCCAUUUACAAUAGUUGAACACCAAACUUUUUAGAUGUUUGUUAGGAACCUUAGACCAGAUUUUCAUAUUAUUUCAAGGACAACUAGAGCCGUGGAGGAUAAAGAUGCGAAGCAUUGUUUCUGCUGAGUGGGUGAUCUUUUAGCUGUGGUCGAAUAGAUUUUCAGCAAAUUUUGUAUAGGUAGUUCUGCCUUGCAAUAGCAUUCAAGGCAUUUUUGUUCUUUGUAGGUCGCUUUAUAUUGAGGAAACUGUGGUUCAUUAUGCAUGUUCUUAGUUAUGUAAUUCUAAAAUUCACUGAACAUGAUGCUAAUGCUAUGAUGCAUCCUUUUGGAUUGUCAUAUGGGGUAUAAUUUUGCUGUGAUGCUGAUGCUGUGACCAUUUGUUUGGAUUGUCAUAUGGGGUAGGAUUUUCCUUUGAAUAAUCCUGUAAGAAGAAAUAUAUCUUGGCAUAUCAAGAGAUGAAGUUAAUUUUGUAAUGCAGGAAGAUG